GCUCAAAUUUGAAAUCUUCAAGGGUUUCCCUUUACGAAUUGUAGUUUAAAGAAGUGUUUUCUGUUGAGGUUUUGGUAAAAGUUCUUUGGAAUAGGACAUCAUAGAGGGUGAGAAUCCCGUAUUUGACCUUUACUUUCAACUUUGUGAUACACUUUCAAAGAGUCGGAUUGUUUGGGAAUGCAGUCCAAAAUGGGUGGUAAAUUUCAUAUAAAGCUAAAUAUUGGCGAGAGACCGAUAGCGAACAAGUACCGUGAGGGAAAGAUGAAAAGAACUUUGAAAAGAGAGUUAAACAGUACGUGAAAUUGUCAAAAGGGAAGCGUUUGACACCAGUGUUGUUUUUCUGAAAAUCAAUUAAAGAACUGUUUAUGCUAAGCUGUUUAGACUUAUCAGCUAUCUGUUUAGUUUUGAGCUUUUCUUUAAUGCACUUUUUAGUUAACAAG
RNAcentral lists this ribosomal RNA (440 nucleotides) under uncultured Neocallimastigomycetes. Its description in RNAcentral is "LSU rRNA". It matches the Rfam family "Eukaryotic large subunit ribosomal RNA", at positions 107 to 543 of the family's 3401-position model. Lineage: Eukaryota; Fungi; Neocallimastigomycota; Neocallimastigomycetes. The record is from RNAcentral.